UUUUAUCACGACCCCAGAGGCUUUGCUUCCCCAGAGGUGAAUUUGCUCAGGAACUGCACCUCAAUUGGGAGAUUAAAAGUGAUUUUUUUCCCAAAUUUUUCAGCUGAUAGCGAAGAAUGGAAAUGUGAGAGGCAACAGCUCCCACAAAAUCCUGGAGUCACAGAAACACUGCUUGGGAAUCAAUCUCCUUUGGCUGCUAAGUCAAUUUUUCAGUCAAAAUUUACAACACAACAGCUCCUAAAUGAUAAUUUUUUACUGAUUUUCUACGGGACCCAGAGCAGGAGGAUCACAAAACCCAACCAGGAAGAUGACCAAAACUCCUAUUUUGCAAUAACUGGAAGAUGUAUCAUCAGCCAGCCCUGUCUUCAGCUGAACACCCAAUUCAGGAGGAUUUAACCCAGAAUGCCACAGGAAAAGGCACUGCAGAGAUGGAAAGUCAUUUUUACAGCGCUGAGAUGAGGCCAAGGGAAACAGAUUUGGAUCAGAACAUGGAAAGCUCUGAGCUUGGAUCUCUCAUAAUGGUAAUUAAUGAAUGAGACUGCAAACAUUUGUUUUUCGGGCCAAACUAUAUUACCUUGAUAUGAAAUGCCUGAAAUUGUUUCAAAGCACAACAUUUAAGUUGUAAAUCUGUCAGUGCACCCCGAAAAACGUUUGAAUUUAAUCUCAUGAGUUGUGCUGGGCACUGGGCUCUUCCUGCACAGGUUUUACUGUUAAAAUUUCAAUAAAGGCAAUUGGAGGUGAGAACCUGAGACUGAU
Molecule: long non-coding RNA, 756 nt
Filed under: Zonotrichia albicollis (white-throated sparrow)
Lineage: Eukaryota; Metazoa; Chordata; Aves; Passeriformes; Passerellidae
Description: lncRNA (ENSZALG00000012000.1)
Source: RNAcentral